AUGGCGUCGACAUGGAUGGCACGUGGCCUGCAGGCGCUACUGCUUCUGUUGGCGCUUCUGCUCGUCCCCCGCGGCGGCGAUGGCGCCGCGGUGUUCUCCGGGUACACGUUCAAGGGGCAGGGCGAGGCCGAGGCCUUCGAGGAGGACACGCUCUACGCGCACUCGCUCCGGCAGUUCUAUCGGGACUGCCGCGUGUCCGGCACCGUGGACUUCGUCUUCGGCAACGGCAUCGCCGUGAUCCAGCGCACCACCCUCGCCACGCUGCCGCUGGCGCCGGGGCAGACGGGGAGUGUCACGGCGCAGGGCCGCAAGGACCCGAACCAGAACACGGGGUUCUCCAUCCACAACUGCGUCGUGGAGGCCAAGUACCCGACCUACCUCGGCCGACCGUGGAAGCCAUUCUCGCGGGUGGUGGUCAUGGAGUCGUACCUGGGUGCCGGCGUGCGCACGCGCGGGUGGCUCGAGUGGGCAGGGGACGCCGGCCUCGCCACCCUCUUCUACGGGGAGUACAGAAACUUUGGGCCCGGCGCGGGGGUAGCCGGGCGGGUAAAGUGGCCGGGGUACCACGUGAUCAUGGACCCGGCAUGGGCCAGCCACUUCACCGUAAGGCGGUUCAUCGACGGCCUGACAUGGCUGCCGUCCGCCGGCGUCACCUUCACGGCCGACUUGAUCAAGAAAUGA
Molecule: ribosomal RNA, 681 nt
Filed under: Triticum aestivum (bread wheat)
Lineage: Eukaryota; Viridiplantae; Streptophyta; Magnoliopsida; Poales; Poaceae
Description: partial small subunit ribosomal RNA
Source: RNAcentral